AUAACUGGAUUUUGCAAUUCUAGAUCCCUCAAAAGCAAAGACUCUCAGAAGGACCAGAAGAAAGGACUAAAAAUUCUUGGACAACCCUGCUUUUUGGAAUCCCAUGGAGUGGCAGAGAUGAGGAACCUCUUUGGAACAAGCAGGCCGCAAUGAUCUUAACACAAUUCCGGGUCAUCUCACUGUCAACUUCUCCAAAUAACAGCAGGUGCAGCGGCUCUCCAGGGCAGACCCCUCCAAGUCGGUGACGUGUGGAUCGGCAUGGCUGCUAGCAUCACACGGCUACACUAUCCAGAGCAUCUGCAGCAUGUAAACCAUCCACACCGUGCAGGUAGCCACAGAAGGGAACAGAAAACACAGAGAACCCACACUUCUUUUGCCCUUCCAUACUGUGGCCUUGACUGACACACAUCACAUCUGCUUAGAGGCCCCUGACCAGAACUAGUCACGUGGCCCACCCUAAAAUAACAUCGUCUUCCUAUGCGCCCAGGAAGAAGAAAAGGAAAAGGGAUUUGGUGAAAACAAAGCAUGGUUUCUGGUGCACAA
This is a non-coding RNA of Callorhinus ursinus (northern fur seal), 543 nucleotides long. NCBI's taxonomy places the organism in Eukaryota, Metazoa, Chordata, Mammalia, Carnivora, Otariidae. The record is from RefSeq and is a predicted model, not a curated record.